Molecule: transfer RNA, 77 nt
Filed under: Candidatus Saccharibacteria bacterium QS_5_54_17
Lineage: Bacteria; Candidatus Saccharimonadota
Description: tRNA-Pro
Rfam family: tRNA
About the family: Transfer RNA (tRNA) molecules are approximately 80 nucleotides in length.
Source: RNAcentral
CGGGGUGUGGCGCAGUCAGGUAGCGCGUACGGCUGGGGGCCGUAAGGGCACCGGUUCAAAUCCGGUCACCCCGACCA